CAGUAGCCACGGGAACACGAAGGGUGCAAGCGUUACUUGGAAUUACUGGGCGUAAAGCGUGCGUAGGUGGUGGUUUAAGUCCGUUGUGAAAGCCCUGGGCUCAACCUGGGAAUUGCAGUGGAUACUGGGUCACUAGAGUGUGGUAGAGGAUAGUGGAAUUUCCGGUGUAGCAGUGAAAUGCGUAGAGAUCGGAAGGAACAUCUGUGGCGAAGGCGACUAUCUGGGCCAACACUGACACUGAGGCACGAAAGCGUGGGGAGCAAACAGGAUUAGAUACCCCAGUAGUCCCUGUCUCUUAUAC
This 301-nucleotide ribosomal RNA is filed under the name uncultured bacterium. RNAcentral describes it as "partial 16S ribosomal RNA". It matches the Rfam family "Bacterial small subunit ribosomal RNA", at positions 509 to 807 of the family's 1533-position model. The record is from RNAcentral.